This 4226-nucleotide unclassified non-coding RNA is filed under the name Hevea brasiliensis (rubber tree). The record is from RNAcentral. Lineage: Eukaryota; Viridiplantae; Streptophyta; Magnoliopsida; Malpighiales; Euphorbiaceae.
CAUAUCUACAUGGCAAAGUCCUUGCUCUGUCUGAAGUUCAUAUCUUGACUUGAAAAGAGAUGCCUAAGAAUUGGUACUUGAAUUGAGAUGUCUACGUGAGGUGAUCUUGUCUUGACAUAGCUUUCUUUGCUAAACUUUUAUAUCCGUUCACUGGAGAUUUUUCGAGUCAAGUGGUAGGAAGAGGAUUGUGAUUUUAGGUGGAAAGUUAGUAAUUCUGAUUAAAAAGGUUUCAUGAUAGAACUUGUGAGGAAUCUUGUAUAUCACGAUAUGUUCAGCAUUAUAAAGCUUCCAUCGAAAUAAAUUUUAGCUGUAAUCAACUUGAUUAUAGUUGUGCUAACAUUUUGCAUUUGAUAAAAUAAUAUGAAAAUGGCAUCAGACCAAGUCCUAAUGGGCAGUUUGUGAAUCUUGUUUUUCAGAGUUUGAACCCUUAAAGCUGCAUCUUGAGAAUUAAUAGGUUCCUCCAGCAAGUAGCCUAAUAAGUUGUUUAAGACAAGCCUCAACAUGUUUAGUUGAACUAGAAAGUGAUCUGGAAUUGCUCCCUUUAGAAGCCCACUCUACUGCUGUAUAGGUCUGUUCAUACACACCAGUUUUGGUAGCAAAUAAUACUGCUGCUUUUAGCCAAUUUUGUGAACCUCAUCUUAGGUGCUUUCAAUCUCCUUAGGUUGGCGAGUACAAGAAACAUUGUCUUCCCGCAACCCUUUUUUCUCCAAUCUGAUAAUGCUUGAAUUCGACCAUUAAGAAACAAUUCCUCAUUAAUUAUUAAGCUGAAUGGUGGAGUGUUUUAAGUGGCUGUUUUAACCAAAAUAUAAGUAGCAAUGGAAGAGUCUUUGUUGACUGAAAUGCUCGCAUUUAUAUGGAAAUAUAGUCAAGGAUGAGGAGAUUUAAUGAAUUAUGUGAAAUAUUCAGCACUUUUCCUCUGAGCAUAUAGUGUAUACAUCGUCAAGGUGUCCCAGGUGAAUAUGUAAGACUGCCUAUUAAUUAUAUUCAUCCACAUAUCUAUGAACUCCUCUUUGUUGUUUUUAUGUGUGGUGAAUGGUGAUUAACCUGAUUCUCAUCACCCUAGCCUGUGCUUACAGUAUCAUGUUACUGUUUCCAUUGGCUGUGACGCUGAUGGCUUCAAUGAUAUCCUUAUUAUUACUUUUUCUGCUCUUUUAUUUUUUCAUGUUUUUGUAAGUUUUUCAUUGAAAUAGUCCUAUCACUACUCAUGAGUAAUGAAUAUGGUGGCAAAACUGGAAAUAGACAACUGGCUUUCUAUAUGCGUCUAUUGUGAAUUAUUUGCUGACCAUGGGAUCACGUGUAUGACAUUAAAAUAUUCUAGCAAUUAAAAAUUUUGGCAAACUGUUAUGAUGACAGUGUUUCCAUUUAUGCUGUAGAUUUGUGCAUGAGUCAUGGUCAUGGGGGAUACUUCUAUGUGCUUGGACCUUGGAGUGUGACAUUAUACGGAGUAUGCAAAUGUGUCACCUUUAAAACUUCGGUUGAUAAAGACCUUUGACUAAUUGUUAUUUUUACACUCGUGCUCUGCUUCCUAGGGUCCUGUAGUUAUGUAUAUAUCAGAGCCAGUGUGCUUAAAAGAUUUCUAGGCCAAACGGUGAACCAAGUCAAGGUGGCCAUCCUUAGUAGAAAGAUUAGGAAAUUUUAAACUGGAUAAAUUACCAUUUUUCUGUAUGUGUUUGUAUUGGCAUCUUAUAAGUGGAAACCAGUUUCCACUGUGGGUGGAAAAAAUCAUGGAUCCUGACCCUUUGAGCAAGCAUUUUGAUUCUAGCAGAAGCAAGUGAUAUUAAAGAAUUUAGGCCACAUGUUUCAGCAUUAGGCCGCAUGUUUCAGCUCUCGCCUCUUGGAUUGGGAGUAUAUCAGAGGCACACACAUCAUUUAUGAGCAAAUUUGGGUCAUCAUUCUGCUGUCUUUGUUUCUUACCUACUGUACAAAGCACAAAUGAGUAACCAAAGAGAAUAAGGUCCCAUCUGCAUCAUGUCAUUAAGUGUGCAUCUGAUCUUUUACCUAAAUCAAAGAUGUUCAUUUGUAGACAAGUUUACUUGGCUAGACAAUUUGCAUUCGAGUGCUCGUAAAGACUCAAAACUAACCAAAACAACAAUGGAGUAACACUUGACUCGUUUUUAUUGCUUCCUACUGUGACAAAUUUAAUAUAUCUAAUUCUGUAAGAGAGACAUGGACGCAAAUAGACGGAAGAUAGACUACUAAUUAUGGACUGAAGAUCUGGUAGUGAGCGAUGACCUCAUAUCUACAAUUGCAGAUUCAUCUGCUCCUAAAUUAAUGGCCUCUUUGCUAGCCCUUAUGAACCUUGUAACAGCACCCCUCACGUACUCGUGCGCUUCUCGCACAUUCAUCUUUUUGCUCAUCCCAUCAGGGAAGCUGCUCAAGAAGUGGUCGCCAUUAAGAACCGCCGCUAGUUGAACUAUCUCGCUCUGAAAUUCAGAUAGGCUACUAUCUUCCUUUGCUUCGGUGCUUCUCAUAGGCGCCACAUUCGGCAAGGUCACUGGGCAGUCAGUCCUGGGAGAGGUUAACUCCCCAACAACUCCUUCAAAUGUGCCAGCCCAAGCAUCCCUGUGGGUCAAGAAAUUGGAGGAGAGGUUGAAAAUUUUCUUUAUGGUGGCAGGGAUCGAUGAGUGCUCGAACUCUGAGUUUGGAGAAGGGCCACUUAUCACUAGGGAAAAAAAUGGAAAAGAAAAAAAAAACAGAACAUCAGCCCAAAAAGAAACAAAUAAAUGCUAUCGCAAUAUAAAAGAAAAGUGAAAGAAUGAACUCAAGAACAAAUCUCUAUUGAUUCAGAAGUCCAAAUAAAUAUUACCGGUGCCUUUCUUGAUCCAAGGGGAGACCAUAAUUGUGGGCACACGAACGCCAAGGCGAUCGAACUUGAAGAAAUAAGGUGCAGGGCCGGUGUUCCCAUCCGGGUUAGGGACAUGUCCAUAAGGAGUCUUGACAUGAUCAUAGAACCCACCAUGCUCAUCAUAAGUAAUGACCAAAAGGGUCUCAUUCCAUUGAGGACUAGACCUUAGUGCCUCAUAAACCUCCUUGACAAGCUUUUGGCCAUUGGCAACAUCAUGAGAUGGGUGGUCAUCAUUCGCGGGCAAUCCCUUAAGAUCAAAAUACCUUGGUUCAAUUACAGUUAAGCUAGGUAACUUUCCAUCUCUAGCAUCUUUCUUAAACUUUAAAUCGUAUUGGUGAAACUUAAACACAUACUUCAAUUUCCUCAUAUUCCUAUAAAACAGAGUUGUGGGUAUGUUCUGGAAGUAAAUCCCAAACUUCUUACCAUUCUCAUGAAGUGAAUCAAAUAUAGUCUUUUGAGGGUACCCUUGAGCCAAUUGCUUCUUAACAUGGCUGGUUGAGCCGUGAGAGGUAGCAGAGUAUACAAAUAGCCUAUUGGGUUGCGUUGGACCAGGGAUUGAAGAGAACCACCUAUCAAACACUGCAAAUUCUUUUACCAGAGUGGCAUAAACAGGCACAGAUUCAGACCUAAAACCUUUCAUGACAGUUUCAGAGAGGUUUUGAGACAUCGUGAGCGCUUGUUCAACAAAGCCUGUCAUGGAGGGAAUUGGGCCAUUGCCAAAUACCUGUUGCUCCACAGCUUCAAAGGAGUGGCCAGGAUCUGGAUCCACGAACUCCGCAUCAUCUGUGAAGCAAAUAGACUGUUGCUUUGGGUUCUGGGUCGAUACAGGGUUACAUUCUCUUCCUGUCACCCCAUUGAUUGCUGGAUUCACCGUUUUCUUCAUCCACCCAAGCAUGUGAUCGAAAGAUCUGUUUUCCAUCACCAAAACCACAAUGGUCUUGAUGGGAUUUUGCUGUUGUGCAUUGGAAACACAUGAUAGAGUGAGAAACAGCAGGAAAAUGGAGGAAAAUGAAGGCGUUCUGGUUCUGAAUCCUCUCAUGCUGGUUUGAUAAGAGGAUAACCCUUGAGGCAAAUGGGUUUAUUUUAGCUUUAGCUUUAAGAUGAUGGGUUCUACUUUAUAUUGGAAUCAAGAACUCACAAGGGAGCUAUUGGCACGUCAAGUAAAAUUUACUGGGUAUCUUAUAUAGUUGCUGCUGUAUAUAUCUAUCUUUCCUUGGAUAUUUUUGACCGUGAUAGAGGAUUCAUGUGUUGGUUUUGGUAGAGUACAGACAUAGCAAAAGAAUAAAGAAGCUUCUGGUUUUCAUAUGCAGUUUAGUUUUUGCUUUUCAUGGCGUUUUUAAAAUAGCAGUAAUCAAAAUUCAAAAGUAAAAGCAGGAAAAUG